GAUGAACGCUGGCGGCGUGCCUAAUACAUGCAAGUCGAGCGAACAGACGAGGAGCUUGCUCCUCUGACGUUAGCGGCGGACGGGUGAGUAACACGUGGAUAACCUACCUAUAAGACUGGGAUAACUUCGGGAAACCGGAGCUAAUACCGGAUAAUAUAUUGAACCGCAUGGUUCAAUAGUGAAAGACGGUUUUGCUGUCACUUAUAGAUGGAUCCGCGCCGCAUUAGCAAGUUGGUAAGGUAACGGCUUACCAAGGCAACGAUGCGUAGCCGACCUGAGAGGGUGGUCGGCCACACUGGAACUGAGACACGGUCCAGACUCCUACGGGAGGCAGCAGUAGGGAAUCUUCCGCAAAGGGCGAAAGCCUGACGGAGCAACGCCGCGUGAGUGAUGAAGGUCUUCGGAUCGUAAAACUCUGUUAUUAGGGAAGAACAAAUGUGUAAGUAACUAUGCACGUCUUGACGGUACCUAAUCAGAAAGCCACGGCUAACUACGUG
This 497-nucleotide ribosomal RNA is filed under the name uncultured bacterium. Its description in RNAcentral is "partial 16S ribosomal RNA". It matches the Rfam family "Bacterial small subunit ribosomal RNA", at positions 28 to 507 of the family's 1533-position model. The record is from RNAcentral.